Molecule: ribosomal RNA, 502 nt
Filed under: uncultured bacterium
Lineage: Bacteria
Description: partial 16S ribosomal RNA
Rfam family: Bacterial small subunit ribosomal RNA
Source: RNAcentral
AUUGAACGCUGGCGGCAUGCUUUACACAUGCAAGUCGAACGGCAGCACGGGUGCUUGCACCUGGUGGCGAGUGGCGAACGGGUGAGUAAUGCACCGGAACGUAUCCAAUAAUGGGGGAUAACGCACCGAAAGGUGUGCUAAUACCGCAUACGCCCUGAGGGGGAAAGCGGAGGACCGAAAGGCCUCGCGUUACUGGAGCGGCCGAUGCCGGAUUAGCUAGUUGGUGAGGUAAAGGCUCACCAAGGCGACGAUCCGUAGCUGGUCUGAGAGGACGACCAGCCACACUGGGACUGAGACACGGCCCAGACUCCUACGGGAGGCAGCAGUGGGGAAUUUUGGACAAUGGGCGCAAGCCUGAUCCGGCCAUGCCGCGUGAGUGAAGAAGGCCUUCGGGUUGUAAAGCUCUUUCGCAAGGAAAGAAAACUCAUCUCCUAAUACGAGGUGAGGAUGACGGUACCUUGAUAAGAAGCACCGGCUAACUACGUGCCAGCAGCCGCCGUAA